Siniperca chuatsi (mandarin fish) is the source of this 2747-nucleotide long non-coding RNA. RefSeq lists it as uncharacterized. The record is from RefSeq and is a predicted model, not a curated record. NCBI's taxonomy places the organism in Eukaryota, Metazoa, Chordata, Actinopteri, Centrarchiformes, Sinipercidae. The transcript is spliced from 3 exons.
GCUAGUCGCUAACUGUGUCUGUUUGCUGUUUGGUGCUGGGCAGGCAGUGUACAGUGGGUUUUAAGAGCAUUUCUACUGAAAACAGCUGCGUGCUGCAACCGAAAACGACGCUGUGAGAGUGAACCAAAACAGUAAAGUUGUGGGCCAGACAGCUAAACAUUGAGCUGAAACUCACAAUAAAAAUGCAGAUUUAGGUGAUAAUAGUCUGUAGGUAUUUGUCCUAUUCAAGUGUCCCAGUAAGCCGUGACAGCGAGCCAACAUGGCCAACAAUGCCAGGACCCUGAAACUGAAGCAGCUAAAUGGAAUUCAGCCAUCAUUCAUCUGUGCUAUUCCUGCUGUGACAUGUCAAAAUGUGAAAACAGCAUAUUCAUAGCUAUUUGCAUCCACUAGCAUCUUAGCGUGAACUUUAUAUGCAAUCGUGCCGCCUCUAACAUUUGCUCUAUAUUCUACCAGCUAUAUUUGUGUAUAAUCACCCACCUUUUUUGAUAUACACUUUUAGCUAGUCAUUCAAUGUGAAAAUAUUAGGAACUACUCCUUACUUUUGAAUUGGAUCAGUCCCCCUUUAACCCAUAUAAUUAUCUCUUUUCCAUCCCCUGACUGGGGUGAACACAGCACAUCACAGCUUUUGCCUGAAUUCACCUGCUCAGCCUGUUACAGGAAAUGGCAAGUUGUACUAAUGUGUGUGUGUGUUUUCUUUUAGCUCUGCAGUACCUUAUAUUAAAUAUUGCAACGAUGCACAAUGUAGGUCAAGAAAAUGAGACCUUAUAACAUUGGUUGGGACUGCUGGGGUGUUAACCUUCUCUUCUUUGUCUGAUAUGGGAGGCAAAGCAGGGUGAUGCUGGCCAGCCUGGCACUUAGAGAUAAUGUCCUUGCCGCCACCCCUCAGUUUGUGCCCCUCUUGCUACCAGAUUCACACCCACUUGCACACAGAAAUACCAGUCGCUCUAGUUCAUCAGUCACGUACAGACUAAACCUGCACGUCCCAUGUGAGGAGUGAACAUGCUGGAAGGUUCUUGGUCCUAAUGCAGCUUUAGCUUGCUGAUAACAAGGAUACAGGUUUUUUUUGUUUGUUUUUUUUAAAAUGCAGAGGUUUAGCAAGUUGUGAGGUUUACUAUACAAAAACAAAAUCAGUGUAUGGUGAAAUGGUGAAAAACAUUUAAAAAGUUACUGCAGAUCCAGCAGCUGCCCCGACAGCUCCGCCAAUCACACCAGCCAAAAACACGCCAAGCACCAGACCCAGCAAUGCGCCCCCUAUGACUACCUUGGGCACCUGUUUAGCAGUAGUCCCAAUUUUCUCCCAUACUGAGCUCUCAGCCACCAUUUUGGCCCCUGCUUUGGCCCCAGAGCCCACCUUCCCCCACAUUGGACUCUGUACCACCUUCUUUGCACCAGCACCAAUUCCAGCUCCAACUUGCACAGAUCUGUCAGCCACCAGUUUAGCUCCAGUUUUGGCCCCAGAUCCAACUUGGCCCCACAUAGGACUCUGCGCCAAAUUCUUUGCUCUGGCUCCAAUUCCAGCUCCGACAUGCAUGGAACUGUCUGCCAUUAGUUUGGCCCCUGAACCAACUUUUUCCCACAUGGGACUUGCUGCUGCUGCCUUUGCUCCAGAUCCCACCCAAGCAGAACCAUCCACCACUACCUUGGGAACUCGGUCUCCUAUUAGUUUGGACAUAUGUCCAGCACUAGCUCCCACCUUCUCCCACAACGAACUAUCAAUCACCAUCUUCUGGACAUUUUGUGCUCCACUGCCGAUUGUCCCCCACACUGGACUACUUUUCACCUUCUUUGCUCCCUCACCGACCCACACAGAGCUAUCUGCCAACAGCUUGGGUAAUGUCUUCGCACUAGACUCCAUUUUAUCCAUAAUGGAACAGAGAAGUGAAGGGGAUAUGGUGGAAAGUGUAACAGGAGGAAGGCUCUCGAUAUUCAUGGUGCUCACACUCAUCUCUGCCUCAGCUCUUGUUUUCUCAAUCUCAUCCUCUCUCACUUCCUCCUCUGCCUCAGCCACAGGCUGCAUGUAGGGAUAAAGUACCCGCCUUUCAGAGUUGAGCUGUCUAAUGUCUCCUAGUCCUUCUUCCUCUAGUUUUUUCCCCUGUCUCUCCCUUGCUAUCUCUACCUGUCUCUGCCUCACUCUGUUCUCUGCCUCCUGAAAAGCAGGACAAGAAUAACACUGUCCUCCAGCUUCCUUCACUGUCUGCUCCACCUUCUCCAGCAGCUCCACCACAUUCCCCCUCUCUCUCCCACCUCCUCCUGUCUCCAUCACAUGAAACCUGUCCCCACAUUUCUCCACGAGCUUUAACAGAUCCCCCCGCCGACCAGCAAUGUAUGCCUCCACGCUGUUGUUUCCUGCCUUCCCGCUCUCCCUCAGUCGAUCUGCGUAAGUAAAGAGGACCAGAGUGUGUCUCUGGACUGCCUCUGGGCCAAAAACAGACUCGAGGGCCCCGAGAGCCUGCAGCUCAGUCUUUGCAGGCUGGUCUAAAGGGACGCACAGGAGGAAGGCGUGAGGACCGGGACUCGACAAAGCAACACAGGAGGAGAUCUGAGCUCGCACCUCAUCUGGAGUUUGCUCUGAAUUGAACCAGUCUGGAGUAUCCACCACCGCCACCUGCAGCGCUUUCUUUUUCUCACACUGCUGAGUGAUCGCUGUGAGGCUUUCCGGGCGUGACUCAAACUCCUUCUGCCCCAGUAUGUUGUUGCCAGCUGCACUCUUCCCCGCUCCAGAUCGCCCGAGCAGCACCAGACGCAGC